UCGAGAAUCUUCCGCAAUGGACGAAAGUCUGACGGAGCGACGCCGCGUGGAGGAUGAAGUAUUUCGGUAUGUAAACUCCUUUUAUGAGGGACGAAGUUAUUGACGGUACCUCAUGAAUAAAGGGUUGCUAAACUCGUGCCAGCAGCAGCGGUAAUACGAGUGCCCUAAGCGUUAUCCGGAAUCAUUGGGCGUAAAGGGUGUGUAGGUGGUUGUGUUAGUCUUGUGUUAAAUUCUUCGGCUUAACCGGGGGUCUGCAUGGGAAACGGCACAACUAGAGGAUAGGAGAGGUAUGUGGAACUCAUAGUGUAGGGGUGAAAUCCGUUGAUAUUAUGGGGAACACCAAAUGCGAAGGCAACAUACUGGCCUACUCCUGACACUGAAACACGAAAGCGUGGGUAGCGAAUGGG
Molecule: ribosomal RNA, 407 nt
Filed under: uncultured bacterium
Lineage: Bacteria
Description: partial 16S ribosomal RNA
Rfam family: Bacterial small subunit ribosomal RNA
Source: RNAcentral